GUUUCAUGUAAUCAGAGAGAAUCGAGGUAAAAUUGAGGAAUAAAAAAAAUAAAUGAGUCAUAUCUAAUUUUUUUAACAAUGAUUUGUUUUAGGGUUUCUUAAACAUAACUGAACCCUAUGUUAUUUUGGACAUUUUUUUUAAUACGUCGCGUGUUUUAGUAGUGUGUAAUUUUGAAAACUAUAAGUUGAAUUUAAGAAAGUAUAAUGGUUCUAGGAUUUCUCUGUAACCCUUUCUCGUGCAACUGCAGAAAUUCGUAUUUAGUUUAAUAACCGAACUAGUUCCAGAGAUACACAUGCUUAUUGGCGGCACAAGUUUUAUGGGCAGCUUGGACAGAGCCGGUUUGAAGGUGGAUUUGAGUGAUCGUGUCGUACUGUAGUAUGGGUGAAGUGGUAAUUAUUAGAGAGCAGGCUGUACUGGGAGUUGCUGUGUAUUAUUUUAUUUGCUCAUAAAAAGCAAUUGACAGACUGAGUGGAGGUAAAACAGCAACACACACUAAAUAUUUCCAGUUGGAGUUACCAGUGAGGCACUGCAGGACAUCCAGUUACAAUAAGAGAUCGUGAGGUAUGAGUUCAAGCGUGUGCUACCGCUGCAAUCGGGCAGGACAUUUUGCUCGUGAUUGUCCAGAAGGUGGAUCCGGUGGUGGAGGAUAUGAGCGCCGUGGAUCCAGCAAUCAACAGAAAUGCUACAAAUGCAACCGGUUUGGCCAUUUUGCUCGUGAGUGCAAGGAGGAGCAGGACCGCUGCUACCGGUGCAAUGGUGUUGGCCACAUUGCCCGUGAUUGCCAGCAGAGUCCCAGUGAACCAUCUUGUUACAACUGCAAUAAAACUGGGCAUAUUGCACGUGAGUGCCCAGAUUCUGCUUCAUCUGGCCCCUCUUGUUACAACUGCAGUAAAACUGGGCAUAUUGCCCGUGACUGUCCUACUGGUGGCAGUAAGGCUUGUUAUAAGUGUGGGAAAACAGGUCAUGUAAGCCGUGACUGUGGCCAAGAUACAAACUAGAGCUACCUCUAAUUUUCAUUAUUCUGGAUUCUUUCUUUGCACUCAGAUUUACAGCAGUUGAAUUUUUCAGAGGUAAUAAUAAACGAUUUGUCAUAUGGUCCAGCCAUCGGCUUAGUAGGGUAGAAUUUGUCAAGACUGGCCCAUUUUGAAUGAAGCAUUUUAUGUUCUUGUAAUGGAGUAAGUGCCUUGGGGUGCAGUCAGUUUUCUCCAUUGCAAGUUAGUUUUGAUGUUCUAGAAAAUCUACAUAAUCAGGUGAACCAAGUUAAAGAUUUUAAAGCUAAAAGUUAAAGCCUAUUUGGUGCACUGAUGUCAUUUAUGUGAAAUAAGUAUAUUGUCAGUUGUCUGCAGCUAGGAAUGGCUGUUAAGAAGUCAGCACUCUUUCAUCAAAAUUUUACUUUUACUCCUAUUUCUACAUUAUAUAGACAAAAAGGCAGGCAAAAUGCUUUGAGUUAGUGGCAGAGGCUAGUUUUGUAUUUGGACGUUAACAAACCUGUCUGGUGAUGCCUUCUAAGGAGAGUGUGUGGCAAACAAUUGAAAAACAGAAAUUAUUGUCUAUUGCUUUUAUGUUCCAUGUUACUUGUGUGACAGUCUUAAAGCUUGUCUAAAUCAUUACUCAGUGAAUAGGAAAGAAAUAAUACAAAUUGUUUAAAUAUUAUUCUCUUGGAAGAGAGUUUUGUCUCCAUGUGAUGUUAAUAAAGAGCUUCACAGCAAAA
Long non-coding RNA from Schistocerca gregaria, 1712 nucleotides. RefSeq lists it as uncharacterized. Lineage: Eukaryota; Metazoa; Arthropoda; Insecta; Orthoptera; Acrididae. The transcript is spliced from 3 exons. The record is from RefSeq and is a predicted model, not a curated record.